CAGCUUUCUUGAGGACAUAUCAAGUUUCACAAAAUGCACACCUGUGUGGACAAAGGAGGGCUUGCGUUAACUGGUGGGGAGGUAGUAGUGAAAUAGCUUUGGUGGUAAAUUGACCAGGCAUGUGAGGGCGAGAGAGAGAGAGAGGGAGAGAGAGAGGGAACAUUCAGAUGCUUUACCGAGAACUUCACUGAGAAAGACUGACAGUGACAGCCAUUUCUCAAGAAAGGGAGAACUGAGGAAAGAACAGCAUCCUGUAUGAGUAUUAGAUAUGGGGAACUUCACCAGCUCAGAGAAAACUUUCAUAAUUCUGUUUCCAAGUUUCGGCUUUACUAAACUCUGAUAAGAGCAUAGCUGAUAAAGAUGUGUUAGCUUUAAAGGGGAUUCCCGGAUUUUAAAUUUCUGUAGUCCAACACAUUUUCAAGUUCUUCAGAUGAAUAUUCUUUCACUGAAAUUCAUGGAAUGAUAAGAUCAAUCUCUGACGUCAUUGAAAAGAAACGGAAAGCUUAACGUGUAUGCGUUAAAUCCAUUCAUAAUGGGCUAAAGUUGAACAUAGUCAAAUACAACAUUAUUAGCCAUUUUAACAGGAGAUUAGAUUAAAAAAUCACUCUCUGCUUAAAUUCUUCAGAGGUUUGCACAAUUUUCAAAUCUGCUGCUAAAAUAAUCGUUGCUCAAGAAUGCUUUUGUAGAAUAAGCAAUAAAAACGCUUGAAAAUUGGAAGUUCUCUUAUUUAUUUCAUGUUCAUUGUCACUACUGAGUCUCAGCAGAAAC
Long non-coding RNA from Oreochromis aureus, 768 nucleotides. The record is from Ensembl. NCBI's taxonomy places the organism in Eukaryota, Metazoa, Chordata, Actinopteri, Cichliformes, Cichlidae.